RNAcentral lists this small nuclear RNA (149 nucleotides) under Cervus hanglu yarkandensis (Yarkand deer). RNAcentral's name for it is "U2 spliceosomal RNA (ENSCHYG00000019577.1)". It matches the Rfam family "U2 spliceosomal RNA". From Rfam's summary of the family: U2 is a small nuclear RNA (snRNA) component of the spliceosome (involved in pre-mRNA splicing). Complementary binding between U2 snRNA (in an area lying towards the 5' end but 3' to hairpin I) and the branchpoint sequence (BPS) of the intron results the bulging out of an unpaired adenosine, on the BPS, which initiates a nucleophilic attack at the intronic 5' splice site, thus starting the first of two transesterification reactions that mediate splicing. Lineage: Eukaryota; Metazoa; Chordata; Mammalia; Artiodactyla; Cervidae. The record is from Rfam by way of RNAcentral.
AUCGCUUCUCAGCCUUUUGGCUAAGAUCAAGUGUAAAGUACUAUUGUGGAAAAAUGCUGUUUUUCCAUUUUCCAACUAACCAGCUGUUCGUUUCUUAGUUGACUUCCAAAAUUAUAUAUUAGAUAUAAAUAAUUCACUGGAAAUUCUUC